RNAcentral lists this ribosomal RNA (119 nucleotides) under Pteropus alecto (black flying fox). RNAcentral also lists the same sequence under 1 other name. The record is from RNAcentral. Lineage: Eukaryota; Metazoa; Chordata; Mammalia; Chiroptera; Pteropodidae.
GUCUACGGCCAUGCCACCCUGAACACGCCCGAUCUCGGCUGAUCUUGGAAACUAAGCAGGGUCGGGCCUGGUUAGUACUUGGAUGGGAGACUGCCUAGAAAGUCUAGGUGCUGUAGGAA